GAUUCCGCAAAAGCAGAGAUGGAGGCGGAGUUAAGAUGGCGCUAAACAGUGACUCCUUUGCUUACACCUUUGGAAACAGCUCUGUUUCCAUCUUAAAUAUCUUUAUUUUUCCCUUUCAGGGUUCUUUUGAAGAUCCUGACCUGGAGUUACACGCUGACUUCGGUUCUUUGCGGGAAUGGGACCCGUUCUCGGGGUUUCCGAACUGGCCGUUGUUUGGCACGCCAAGGGUUCGACCAGAGAGUCCGCAAGAAAAUAGGAAGAAGCUGGUCCUGAACUACGCUGGACUUGAAAGACUGAUUCUCCUUUGUCUAUCUUGCCUGUUACUUCCUCAAAGAAUUCCAACAAAUUUGCCAGAGCCACACCACCGCCUAUGCCUUCCUGCCUGUCCUUUCGGUACGAAGUAUAUCCAAUCAGGCCGUCAGGUCAGCGGAUUCAAGCCGGGUUGUUGGGCCUGUGGACUUGAUCUGGGCUGUCGGGCCUGUGGGUUUGAGCCAGGCCAACAGGUCUGGGGAUUUGAGCUGGUCAGGCUGCAGGACAAAACGGAUUGGUUUUGGAAGUGCUGACCGGGGUUCAGACAAUGUUGGUGCCUUUGAGUUGGUGUGAAGGCAGUGUGCAAUUUAACUGUGAGUGACCGUCUUGGUCAAUUCUUUUGUCUGUUGGACAUUAAUUGCCACAGGCAUGCUUCCCUUGUUUUGUGACAUAACAGGUGGCGAGGCAGCAGUGUUGCCUCGGUUGUAGUUAGGACUGGGCCUCAGUCCCUGGGGUUACAUUGUAAUGUGGUGUUUAGACUCAGUUGGGGGUGACGUCUCCUGUUGGUGCUGCCCUCCAGUGUUAGAUUGGUGGAAUUACAGGCUGGAAUGCCAGGAACCAUCAAUUUGCGGACUUGUCGCUCAGGGACUUGGGAAAAAAAAUUGUUUUCUUACAUGACUAUGUUCUUUUUUUUCUCUUUCUUGUUACUUUGAAUACGUGUGUGUGCUUUUGCACCUUGGCCCCAGAGGAAAACUGUGUCAUUCUGCCUUAUCCAUGUAUGAUUUGAAUGACAAUUAAACUCGAUUUGAUUGAUUUGAUUUUGAUAAGUCUUGAAAUUUGUUAACUUUGGGGCAGCAGUACAUUGCAAAACAUGAUAAUAUAGAAAAAUAAACUGUGAAUUAUGGAAAAAUAUACUAAAUAGUUAAAACAACUAAGUAGUACAAAAACAGAAAUAAGAAAAGGAGUGAGGCUGUGUUCAUGAAUUCAAUGUCUAUUUAGGAAUCGGAUGGCAGAAGGGAAGAAGCUGUUCCUGAAUCCCUGAGUAAGAGCCUUCAGGCUUUUGUACUUCCUUCCUGACAGUAAUAAUGGGAAGAGAGCAUAUCCUGCGUGGUGGGAAUCCUUAAUAAUGGACACUGCCUUCCCAAGACGUUGCUCCUUGAAGAUGUCUUGGAUACUACAGAGGGGUUUAAAUCUUAUCCUUCUCACCUUAAUUCUAUGGCCCUCUCAUACUGGAGUCCCUUUCUUAUGCUCCAAGAAAUGCAGUUCUAACCUCCACAACUUCCCCUUGAGUACUGGCAACAGUCUUGCAUAUCUCUCUUGGACUCUUUCCAUUUUAAAUGUAUUGUUCCUAUAAGAGCCCAACCAAACCUGCACACACUAUUCCAGGUAGAACUUCACCAAGGCCAUGUGCAUAACGUUCCAACACCUGUACUCAGUGCCCUGACUGAUGAAGGCCAGUGUGUCAAAUACUUUCUUCAACUUCAGUACUUGUGAUAUUACUUUCAGGGAACUAUAUAUUUGUACUUCUGUCAUAGCAGCAACUACAUUCUACAUUGGUAUCUGAAGCACGGUGAUACUUGCCCAGCAUAAUUCUAGCUGAUUUAUCAUAGUCAUAGUCAUACUUUAUUGAUCCCGGGGGAAACUGGUUCUCGUUACAGUUGCACCAUAAAUAAUAAAUAGUAAUAGUAAUGUUACGAUUAGUAAAUAGUAAUAGUCAGGGAAAUAAUAAAUAGUAAUAGAAAAUAGUAAUAAAUAGUUAAAUAGUAAUAUGUAAAUUAUGCCAGUAAAUUAUGAAAUAAGUCCAGAACCAGCCUAUCGGCUCAGGGUGUCUGACCCUCCAAGGGAGGAGUUGUAAAGUUUGAUGGCCACAGGCAGGAAUUACUUCCUAUGACGCUCUAUGCUGCAUCUCGGAGGAAUGAGUCUCUGGCUGAAUGUACUCCUGUGCCCACCCAGUACAUUAUGUAGUGGAUGGGAGACAUUGACCAAGAUGGCAUGCAACUUAGACAGCAUCCUCUUUUCAGACACCACCGUGAGAGAGUCCAGUUCUAUCCCCACAACGUCACUGGCCUUACGAAUGAAUUUGUUGAUUCUGUUGGUGUCUGCUACCCUCAGCCUGCUGCUCCAGCACACAACAGCAAACAUGAUCGCACUGGCCACCACAGACUCGUAGAACAUCCUCAGCUGAUAUGAUACUAUAUGUUUUCUCUGUAUGUUUUGAUGUACAUGUAAUAAAUAAAGCUAAUCAUCUUCUUCACAAUCUACCUCCUUAUGGCCUUUCUACUUACUUUCUGCCUUAUAGCACUCUCUCUGUAACUAUAACUUGUUAUUCUGCUGUCUGUUAUUGCUUUCCCUGAUAGUACCUUGAUAUGCUGCUAUAAUGAAGUGAUCUUGAUGUCCUGAUGAAGGGUCUCGGCCCAAAACGUCGACUGUUUACCCUUUUCCAUAGAUGCUGCCCGGCCUGCUGAGUUCCUCCAGCAUUUUGUGUGUGCUGCUUGGAUUUCCAUCAUUAGCAGAUUUUCUCCUGUUGAGGAAAUGAUCUGCAUGGAUAGCUUGCAAAAUAAAGUCUUUCACCGUACUUUGGUACAUUCAAGACUCAAAAGAUUCAAAGUGUACUUAUUAUAGAAGUAUUUAAGCAGUAUACAACCAUGAGAUUCAUCUUUCCAUAGACGGUCGCAAAACAAAGAAAACCAUGGAACUCAUUCAAAGAAAGACAUCAAAUCCCACAACAUGGGGAAAAAAAUCCAGAUUGCACAAAUGGCAAAAAUGAGCGAAAAAGACAGAAAAUAAAACAUCAAAUCACAAGAUCAUUGAAAUAGUCUCAGAAUGUUCAGUUCAGCUCAGUUCAAUUCAAUUUAGUGCUGUGGUGUCCAUUGACUGCAGGCCAUCAUAAACAAAUGAGCCUUUUAACUUCCUGAGGUAGUUGGGACUGCAUGCAUUCAGGGUUUAGCUUGUAUAAGGUGAUUUAAAAUGUGGACAUAAGAAAAUACAGAUGCCGAAAUCUGGAGCAACAAGCAAACUGCUGGUUGAACUCAAUGGGUCAGGCAGCAAAGAGGGUAAUAGGUCCAUUGCUCCUUUAUAAAGAGGUUCUGGAUUCCCAUCCAUCAACUCCCCUCUUCCCACUCCUGGGGCUCAGACAAACCAUAGAUAGGUAAGUUGGCCAUAUCAGUUCACUCCUCCGAUGGUGUGCUCAGCGCCUACAUUUAUAUCCUUCCGAGUUUCCCAAAGUCUCUGACAAAUAUGUCCCAUUCAGAACAGAAAUGUGAAGUCAUUUUUUUAGUCAGAGGGUGGUGAAUCCAUGGAAUUUGUUGCCACAGGCAGCAGUGGAGGCCAAGUCAUUGGGUGUAUUUAAGGCAGAGAUUGAUAGGUAUCUGAGUAGCCGGGGCAUCAAAGGUUAUGGUGAGAAGGCAGGGGAGUGGGACUAAAUGGGAGAAUGGAUCAGCUCAUGAUAAAAUGGCGGAGCAGACUCGAUGGGCCGAAUGGCUGACUUCUGCUCCUUUGUCUUAUGGUCUUGUGUCACAUAAAGAGACACAGCAGAGAAACAGAACCUUCAGUCUGCAAGGUCAAUGUCAACCAUCAAACACCUGUUUUACCUUAAUCCCAUGGCAUGUCCACAAUUGCUAACCCUUACUGAAAGGUGAGGGGAAACCAGAGCACGUGGAGGCAGGCCAUGUGGUCAGAGGGAGAAUGUACAAACUUCUUACAGACGGUGGCUGGAAUUCAACCCUGAUUGCUGAUGCUGUGUGGUGUCACAUUAACUGCUGUGGUACCAUGCCAUGUAACUAUGUGGAUGUUGGAUGUGAAAAGUAACUGGAGCAAUCAGUGCUGUCACAGGGAGAAGGCACAAUCUCCUCACGGACACCAGUGAGGUCAGGACUGAACUUUCUGGUGCAGUCAGGCAGUGCCUCUACUAGGUAGAUUAUCAUUUGAAGUGCAAACCAAUUAGUAUAGUAUAGAUGGCCUGUGGCCGUCGAACUUUGCAGCUCCUCUCAUGGAGGGUCAGACACCCUGAGCCAAUAGGCUGGUCCUGGACUUACUUCCAUCUGGCAUAGUUUGCAUAUUGUUGUUUGAUUGUUUGUGGUUUUUGUAUUGCUAUAUUUAUGCUCUAUUCUUAGUUGGUGCAGCUGUAACGAAACUCAAUUUCCCUCGGGAUCAAUAAAGUAUGUCUUUCUCUAUACAGGAUUUUGUUCAUACCCGUUCAUUGCUUGUUCCUGACAGGAGUGACUUAUCAGAGUCAUAAGGUCAUAAAGCAUGGAACCAGGCCCUUUGACUUACCUGCUCCGUGCCCACUAAGUUUCUCAUCCAAGAUAGUCCCAUUUGCCGAUGUUUGUCCCAUAUCCCUCUAAAGCAGAGGUUCCCAACCUGGCUGCAUGGUUCCCUCAGUCAAUAGUAGGAGUCCACAGCAUUAAAAAGUUUGGGAAGCCCUGCUCUAAAGCACUCCUAUCCAGGUAUCUAUGCAAGUACAUUUUAAAUGUUGUCGAUGUACCUGCUUCAACCACUCCCCCCAGUAGUUCCUUCUAUAUAUUGUAUCUGUACAGUAUUCCAUUUACCUGCUUGAAAAGUCGGACCCUCAUGCUCCUAUCUCUUCCCUCUAACCUUAAACCUAUGCUCCCUAGUUCCUGAUUCUCCACCUCUGGUAUAAAGACUGUGUGCAUUCACCCUAUCUAUGUCCCUCUACAGGAACACUGUUCUUUCUCCUAAACUUCAAUGAAAAAUGUCCCAAAGUGCUUAGCCUCUCUCUUGAACUCAGUUACCCAUGCCCUUGCAUCCUCCUUACCAAUCUCCUCUGCAUUUUUUCCUGUUUAAUAGUGUCUUCCCUGUAGCAGGGCGACCAAAACUGAACACAAUAUUCCUAAUAUGGUCUCACAAAUGUCUUGUACAACUGCAAAGUACCUAACUUUUGUACUAACUGAUAAAGGCCAGCUUGUCAAAAGCCUUCUUCACCACCCUGCCUACCUGGAACACUACUUGCAGGGAACCAGGCACAUAUAGAUAACUUACUGUAAAUGACUUACUCUUGUGAAAUAUGUUUGACAAAAACCAAGGGAAAUAACAUCCCAUUUGGCAUAGGUUCUUCUGCAAGGAAGGUUUUAACAGAAAAUUCUUCUUUUCUGGGUUUUCUUCAUAACUUAGGCUUGUAAGGCACAGGACACUUCCUAUCAAGGCCUAAUAAUUUCAGAGUGGCUUAUGUUACCUGAUUUUUGAAGUGACUCACUUCAAAAGGGUUUUACCAUCAAAGACAGUCCCUGCUUAGAGAACUCUAUCCCCUUCAUUAGAGACUUAAGUCAUGCUGUGAUUUGCACAGCAAGGUUCCGACUUAUUUAGUGAAAAUAGAGUAUUGGUUUUCCUUCUUAAUGGUGGACUAGUAAAACCUACCUCAACACACUGCCAUGGCCAGUUAGGUUGCUGAGUGGUCUUUGAGAGAUUGUUCCAUUCAUAGAAGUUAAGAUCAUAUAUUUGAUAUUUGAAUCAAUUUUAAAGUAAUCCUUUAUAUCUGGAGAAAUUUCUGAAAUGCCCGCUUCGCUGCCGCUGCUACUGUGCAAUCGAGAAUCUCCGGAGGGGAAGGCCCCAAUUCCUCGGCUUUGCCUAUUGCUGGGGUCGAAGCGCUUGGCAGAGGUGGUGCUCGGUGCUCGGUGUCGGAGGGCUGGUCGGAGGCUCGAAGUUUUCGGAUGGACUCAAGAGUCGGCUGUGGUCGGGUGCUUCCAGGGUGCUGCAUCGGCAAGUUAGCGGCGCUGGAAGCUUAUGGCAGGGAGAGUUUUUCUUCCUUCUACAGUCUGCGUGAGAUGAUGGGGCUUUUGAGAGACUUUGAGACUUUUUUUUUACCGUGCCCAUGGUCUGUUCUUUAUCAAAUCACGGUAUUGCUUUGCACUGUUGCAACUAUAUGUUAUAAUUAUGUGAUUUUUGUCAGUUUUUCAGUCUUGGUUUGUCUUGUUUUCUGUGAUAUCAUUCUGGAGGAACAUUGUUUCAUUUCUUAA
Long non-coding RNA from Mobula hypostoma (lesser devil ray), 6221 nucleotides. RefSeq lists it as uncharacterized. The transcript has 3 exons. Lineage: Eukaryota; Metazoa; Chordata; Chondrichthyes; Myliobatiformes; Myliobatidae. The record is from RefSeq and is a predicted model, not a curated record.